Molecule: ribosomal RNA, 274 nt
Filed under: uncultured Staphylococcus sp.
Lineage: Bacteria; Bacillati; Bacillota; Bacilli; Caryophanales; Staphylococcaceae
Description: partial 16S ribosomal RNA
Rfam family: Bacterial small subunit ribosomal RNA
Source: RNAcentral
AUGUUAGCGGCGGACGGGUGAGUAACACGUGGGUAACCUACCUAUAAGACUGGGAUAACUCCGGGAAACCGGGGCUAAUACCGGAUAAUAUUUUGAACCGCAUGGUUCAAUAGUGAAAGACGGUUUCGGCUGUCACUUAUAGAUGGACCCGCGCCGUAUUAGCUAGUUGGUAAGGUAACGGCUUACCAAGGCGACGAUACGUAGCCGACCUGAGAGGGUGAUCGGCCACACUGGAACUGAGACACGGUCCAGACUCCUACGGGAGGCAGCAGGC